CUUGCCUGGAUAACUCCAGGAACUGGGGAUUUGGGACAUCUCAGGCUUUCAGAUUCUCUGUUAAUCAAAUCCCAAGUGCUAAAAGGAACCAAGAGACAUGAAAAGUGUUGCUAAAAAAGCAAGGGGUGGGGGAGGGAAACAAAUAAAGCCACCCCCCAGUCCCCAGAGAAGAAGCAGCUUCUGCAUCAUAUCUCAUCUGGGAAAAAUUAUAUUUUGGGAAUUAUGUGCUUCUUCUGAAAAGCCUUAAAGAGAUUUAAUAAAAUGAGACAAGCUAAUAAUAUAGGGAAUGAAUAGCAACCCUGGAUGCUGCAUCUUGAUUUAAUCAGAUGCUUUUCCUCAGGGGGACAAGCAAGAACUAUAGCUAAAGCCUCCCUUCCCUACCCAGCUGCUCCCCUCUUCCUCUGGCCAUUCACUCCCUUUCCAAUCCCAGUGGAGCAGCCAGGGCAGGAUUUGGGGUCCCACAAGUCCCGUUGCUCACCAGCAGCUGCUGGGAAAUGCACAGCCCACGCUGGUUCUGUGGAAGCAGGAUAAGGAGCUGGACACCAGCUUGCAGUACAGCCCCCAGGGAGAGGGGCCCUGGCCAGGGAACAGUCCUGGGGGAGAAAAGCAGGAAUUGGGGAGCCAGGACAGCCGGGCUCGGUUCCAUGAGCGGGGUUGCUCAGAGCCUGGGAAUGCUGUGUGCUGCUGCAGUGGGGCUGAGCCCGUGGUGGGAUGUGAAGCAUCUGAUGAGGAGCUGAUGUGGGAUGUGCCCCUCUCCGUGGCUGGGACAGCUGCAGGGGUGCAUGUGCCGGGUGGGAAGGACACAAAUGGCCCUUCCAGUCCUGUUUCACCGCUCAGACCCGCAGGACCCAGCCGUGAACCAGCCCGGCCCCGGGGGGAUGAUCCUUCCCAGCUCCGCAGCGCACUCAGAAACCAAACUCAUGUUCUGAUGUAAUUGUCCUUUUCCGAGUAUCCCCGCUCGCCUGUGCCUGUGCUGGGCACCUCGGUGCCGCUCCUGCUUCCUGGAACAUUUUGCUUCCUACACUUUUGCCGUGGUGCAGCUGCUGUGAGCUCUGCCUUGCUGCUGCACAGUUCGUCCCAGCCAGGCCCUGGGGAGCCGCGUGUUCUGUCGCCGGGAUGUUUGUGUGACUUUCGUGGAAUUUCCUUUCCUCAGCCACUUGCUCACGGACACAGGGUGGGUUUGGAUGGUUGGCAGGUGGCUGGUAAACCGAGGAGGGUGAAAAUAGGGAGGGGAACAGCAAAAGCAAGGACUGAUCUGUGCUGAAGGUGAUUCCAUUUAAGGUGUCGCUAGGGUUCGUGCAGAACAUCCUGCCUGUGGCUCUGGCUGUGCUGAGCUGCUCAUGAAAGGGAUUCCAUCCUCCAAAACCAGGCAAGGAGCAAAACAUCCCACAAAUAGCAGGGCCAAACUCUGGCAGCUGUGGGGGAAAUGUCCUUUUACUUGCCUCUGCUUAAGCCUUGGGCUAUUUGCAGUCAGGUCAGAAAUAGGUGGUGAUUUGUAAAAGAGUCAUAACUGUGGGAAGGCUUUGCCUUACAGCGAGGUGGAUCCUUUAUCAUCAAUCACUGGCAGCAGCUCCCAGAAAAUGGGCUUUGCUCCUACAGAUGAGUUUCUAGAUGAGCCUGGGAGGACUCAGCUAAUGCUGUGUAAUGCUCCCUGCUCGGGCUCUGCGUGAGGAGCUGGGCUCUGGGAUGGCACAGGCAGUGCUCACCACCUAUUCUCUGGGAGCUCCCACCAGCAGCAGUUCUCCUCCACCCACCCCAGGUCCCUGACAUCCUGUCCUGGCUGUCAGCAGGUCCCUGCCUUUGGUCCCACUCCACCAAGCCCACAGGAUCCCAGUGCACAUCUGUCUCCUGGCAUGCUCUGCCCAAAGAGCUGUUUAGAAGGAGCAAAUAGAAUUUUUUUCCUGUCAGCCAGGAGCAGUUUGAAGCAGGCUAUUUUUACCUGUUCCUGACUCUAUUAAUAGUUGUACGGCCAGCAAUAAAUGCUGAUCGAGAUAUUCGAUUUGUCUGUCCUCCAGAGGUUGCCACUUCCUAUUCCCCCUGUUGUUUCCCAUCAACUGCUUCAAUUAAAUGAUCUUUUUGUUAUUUGGGGUGAUACAUUUGGGCUUUGUGUUCGGCUAUUAAACUUCUUUGCUGUCUCACACACAGAUGAAUAAACACAGGAAACUG
RNAcentral lists this long non-coding RNA (2166 nucleotides) under Taeniopygia guttata (zebra finch). RNAcentral describes it as "lncRNA (ENSTGUG00000021040.1)". The record is from RNAcentral. Lineage: Eukaryota; Metazoa; Chordata; Aves; Passeriformes; Estrildidae.